CGAAAUACCUGUAUUGUUCACCAGCGGCCCUAACCGAAUUUGAGUUCGAUGGCCCGGAAGUCCGGCAGUCCCCAUAAGGGGAACGCUUCGGAACCGCUGGUUACUGGGUAACGCCUAUAUUGGCGCAAAUCUGGAUUCUGCAUUUGUUCUACCCUACUCCCCGACGGGUGUCAACGGGUCAGGUUCAACAUUUUGUAUGUUUU
RNAcentral lists this unclassified non-coding RNA (203 nucleotides) under Hevea brasiliensis (rubber tree). The record is from RNAcentral. Lineage: Eukaryota; Viridiplantae; Streptophyta; Magnoliopsida; Malpighiales; Euphorbiaceae.